This 460-nucleotide ribosomal RNA is filed under the name uncultured bacterium. RNAcentral describes it as "partial 16S ribosomal RNA". It matches the Rfam family "Bacterial small subunit ribosomal RNA", at positions 338 to 795 of the family's 1533-position model. The record is from RNAcentral.
CCUACGGGAGGCAGCAGUGAGGAAUAUUGGUCAAUGGGCGUAAGCCUGAACCAACCAAGUCGCGUGCGGGAUGAAGGUUCUAUGGAUCGUAAACCUCUUUUAUCAGGGAAUAAAGUGUGGGACGUGUCCUAUUUUUUAUGUACCUUAUGAAUAAGGAUCGGCUCACUCCGUGCCAGCAGCCGCGGUAAUACGGAUGAUCCGAGCGUUAUCAGUAUUUAUUGGGUUUAAAGGGUGCUUAGGCGGCCUUUUAAGUCAGCGGGGAAAGUCUGUGGCUCACCCAUAGAAUUGCCGUUGAAACUGGGGGGCUUGAGUAUGUUUGAGGCAGGCGGAAGGCGUGGUGUAGCGGUGAAAUGCUUAGAUAUCACGCAGAACCCCGAUUGCGAAGGCAGCCUGCCAAGCCAUGACUGACGCUGAUGCACGAAAGCGUGGGGAUCAAACAGGAUUAGAUACCCGGGUAGUC